Long non-coding RNA from Salvelinus fontinalis (brook trout), 9739 nucleotides. RefSeq lists it as uncharacterized. Lineage: Eukaryota; Metazoa; Chordata; Actinopteri; Salmoniformes; Salmonidae. The transcript has 2 exons. The record is from RefSeq and is a predicted model, not a curated record.
GUGUGGAAUCCCAGACGGGCACGGGACCAGACCAGAAGUAGAGCUCUCUGCUUCUCUCUGCCCCCUGGCAUGGCUGAGAUUGCCCUGUAAUUACAGGGUGACGGAGGGGUUAACGGUGGAUGUUGGAUAGGGCCCAUUGUUUAGGGAACGAUGGCGUGGGGGGGGAUAGCAGGAAGGAGAGCGAGGUAUGAUGUCAUUGCUGGUUUGGUUUGGAACGCGGCCGUCUGCCUGUGGUGGCGGGGCUGGGUAUGCGUGCGUGCGUGCGUGCGUGCGUGCGUGCGUGCGCGCGCCCGCGAGUGCAUGUGCACGCGCACACACAUUGAUAGAAGAUAUCAUAAAGAAAUGGAGUGAUGGCAAUCUGCAGCGAACAGGAGCAGUGUGUGUGUGUGUGUGUGUGUGUGUGGGUGUGCAUUUGCACGUGCGCGUGUGGGUAUGAAUGAUUGUGUGGUUGGAAAACCAUGCACUGUUUAAAAUGCCAUUUGCCCUUUGUUUGAAUGUUUUUCGACGGAUGGAUGCAGAAUGAAUCAUUUGGACGGAGGCUGAGAGAUAGCCAGCAGAGAGCAGAAAGAAGAAAGGAGCUUGUCACACAAAUCCAUUCCCGUAAAUGAUGUGGAUGAGCUUGCUAACUACCCUCGGAGGGCAUAGGCUGUUCCCUGACACUUGGAUGCCAUGAAGUCACUGUGGUUUGGACCAAUGAUGUCACCCGUUGCUAGAACAUCCAUGACAUCACCCUAUUGGCCCAUCACUCAUCUCACCCAAUCACACUCAAGAGUCAGACGCUAACCAGCAGAGAAGGAAGAAGACGGUCCAAAAAUGAAACCAAAUGAAAUGAGGGAAAGAGGAGAAGAGACUGGAAUAUUUUUUUCCUUUAAAGGUAAUCGUUUUUCUUUAAAUGGAUAAAGAGGAGAAGACUGAGAGAUUUGUACUAGAGAACAGGCAUUUAUGGCAGAGGUGUAGUUUUCCUCAAACCCAAACCACACACCUGGAGGUGCCUCUGUAUCAAUACACUAUACGUUGUACUAGGAUACUAAGCAAAGACAAGUUCAUUGUUAGUUUUUGUGGUUGGAGAUUAAACGUUAAAGUUUUUCCACCCGGCCUCGUUGAAAUUUGUGUGACGUUUGUAGUCAGUGUUUUGUUUCUUGUCUCACAGAGUUUUCCAUACGCACAAAAACCUUAUUUCUCUCAAAUUUGGUGAACAAAUUUGUUUACAUACUAGUUAGUGAACAUUUCUCCUUUGCCAAGAUAAUCCAUCCACCUGACAGGUAUGGCAUAUCAAGAAGCAGAUUAAACAGCAUGGUGCACCUUGUGCUGGGGACAAUAAAAGUCCAAAUAAAAAUGUGCACAGAUGUCUCAAGUUUUGAAGGAGCAUGCAAUUGGCAUGCUGACUGAAGGAAUGUCACCCAGAGCUGUUGCUCGAGAAAUUAAUGUUAAUUUCUCUACCAUAAGCCGGCUCCAACAUCGUUUUAGAGAUUUUGGCAGUACGUCCAACCAGCCCAGGACCUCCACAUCUGGCUUCUUCACCUGCGGGAUCGUCUGAGACCAGCCACCCGACAGCUGAUGAAACUGAGGAGUAUUUCUGUCUGUAAUAAAGCCCCUUUGUUGCGGAAAAACUAAUUCUGAUUGGCUGGACCUGGUUCCCCAGUGGGUGGGCCUGUGCCCUCCCAGGCCCACCCAUGGCUGCGCCCCUGCCCAGUCAUGUGAAAUCCAUAGAUUAGGGCCUAAUGAAUUUAUAUCAAUUUACUAAUUUCCUUAUUUGAACUGUAACUCAGUAAAAGUUUUGAAAUUGUUCCAUGUUGCGUUUAUAUAUAUUUUUUAAGUAUAUAUCAAUAUAAUAAUAGUUAGUCAAAAUCACUCUCAAAAUUCACUCUCAACAAAAUCACUCUCCAUUGAUUACUAGAGACUAAAACCGUUUCGUCUCGGCUGUUAGACGUGAGCUGGAUUUAAGAGGCGAUUGUUACUUUAUUUUAUCGUCAUUCAUUGAAUCAGGUGGAACGCAAAGCUCCAGGAAAGAGACUGAAUUGAAUCUGUAAUGUAUAUGUGUACAGUAUAUUAAUGGUGGUCUUUACACAGGGAGAGAGAUGCUCACUGCUCACGUCAAUAAUGUGCUAAUGGCUGUCUGGAAGGUUUUGGAGAUCUCCCUCUAAGGACUGGUUCGCGACUACGGGACAGAGGGGGGUCCGAUUUGUUUCUUUUGCCCUCAAGACGUGAUGACGAGCAGAUUAUAGGGGCUUAAAAAGGGCUUAAACCCCAGCCUAUCAACACGCCCCAUUAAAUAAACAAAUAAACAAUUCAAAACAUGGAUGAAAUAUCUGACAUUAGACAUAAAAUUUGGAGUGCUCACUCUUUGUCGCUCAUCUCUAUUAUUAUCAUUUCAAUAAGACAAAGAUGGAGGAGAAAAAAGGAUGUUUUUAAGAAUGGAAGAAAAGAGGAAAAGAAGAAAUCCACAAUACCCUUGGGCAUAUGUUGACACAUACACUACAUGACCAAAAGUAUGUGGACACCAGCUCAUCGAACAUCUCGUUCCAAAUUCAUGGGCAUUAAUAUGGAAUUUGCUGCUAUACCAUCCUCCACUCUUCUGGGAAGGCUUUCCACCAGAUGUUGGAACAUUGCUGCGGGAACUUGCUUCCAUUCAGCCACAAGAGUGUUUGUGAGGUCGGGCACUGUUGGCUCGCAUUCGGUGUUCCAAUUCAUCCCAAAGGUGUUCGAUGGGGUUGAGGUCAGUGCUCUGUGCAGGCCGGUCAAGUUCUUCCACACUGAUCUCGACAAACCAUUUAUGUAUAGCCCUUGCUUUGUGCAGGGGGGAUUUGUCUUGCCACAAAGUUGGAAGCACAGAAUCGUCUAGAAUGUCAUUGCUGCAACGUCAGGAGAAUGAUGGGUGUGGAGUCAGGCGCAGAGAGCAGACGUUUCACGGGAACAAACGCUAUAAUGUCUACAGUCAACAGGAACAGGUACAAAAAUGGGUGACGCCAAAACACAGGCGCAAACACAACCCAAAGACCACUGUUAAUAAACCGGACAGCGAAAACCCAAAAUCAAUAAUACACCUCCUACGUACAAUGACAACAAAUAAGCCUGCACAAACACUAGCGGGCGAAACGAAACUAAAUAGUACCCGUCCCAAAACCCCAACAAGGAACAGGUGAAAACAAUUAGACAGACAUAAACGAAAAGGAAAAAGGGAUCGGUGGCAGCUAGUAGACCGGCGACGACGACCGCCGAGCGCCACCCGAACGGGAAGGGGAGCCACCUUCGGUAGUAUUCGUGACAAUUGCAUGCUUUAGCAUUAAGAUUUCCCUUCACUGGAACUAAGGGGCCUAGCCCGAACCAAGAAAAACAGCCAGGUUCGUCCGUUGUAAUGCCAGAUGAUGAAGCGUGAUUCAUCACUCCAGAGAACACAUUUCCACUGUUCCAGAGUCCAAUGCCGGUGAGCUUUACACCACUCCAGCCGACGCUUGGCAUUGCGCAUGGUGAUCUUAAGCUUGUGUGCGGCUACUCUUCCAUGGAAACCCAUUUCAUGAAGCUCCAGACGAAUAGUUAUUGUGCUAACGUUGCUUUCAGAGGCAGUUUGGAACUUGAUAGUGAGUGUUGCAACCAAGGACAGACGAUAUUUACACGUUACGAGCUUCAGCACUCGGCCGUCCCGUUCUGUGCACUUGUGUGGCCUACCACUUCGCGCCUAAAGCCAUUGUUGCUCCUAGAAGUUUCUAUUUCACAAUAAAGCACGUACAGUUGACCGGGGCAGCUCUAGCAGGGCAGAAAUUUGACGAACUGACUUCUUGAAAAAGUGGCAUCCUAUGACGGUGCCACGUUGAAAGUCCCCAUCUCUUCAGUAAGGCCAUUCUACUGCCAAUGGAGAUUGCAUGGCUCUGUGCUCGAUUUUAAACACGUGUCAGCAAUGGGUGUGGCUGAAAUAGCCAAAUCCACAAAUUUGAAGGUGUGUCCACAUACUUUUGUAUAUAUAGUGUAGAUAGCUCUCCUAAGGACGUCUGAUCUUCUCUUUGUUUUAGCCAAGGCUUUAAUCCCAACCUUGGGUCCCCUCCUCCAGACAACGAUUAAAGAUCCUAAAUCUUUAGCUGUAAACUGCUCUCACGCAACUCCUUACUUAAAAGGGCCUUAUUUGUUUUCGAGAUCAAAUAUUUAAAUCUUUUCACCAUUCAUUAAUAUUGGUUUGCCAACUGUCUUAGAAGUCCACGGAAGAAGACUAUAUUUAAAUCUUUGGCCAUAAAUUAAUUGUUUUGAAAUGGGUGAAAAUGUACCAUCACUUAAUGAGAAAGAGAGCGAAACAAAUGUGAGGGAGAGGCAUCCCUCUCUGUCUGCUCCCUCCCUCCUUCCUUUUCUUCCUCAUUAAAUGGGGGGGGGCGGACGAUACAAAACAAACGUCCGUCCGAACGAACAGGCAAUCGACCACCAAGCUCAAAUUCAAACAUGCGAGUGAGACUGACGUAAAAAAAUAUAUAUAUUUUGUAAUGUAUAUUAACUCCGAGAGGCCCUUGUCACCUGACAGACCAUUGUUCUGUGUGGGCCCAGGCCUCGCCACAGGAGCAGGUUGCCUGCAUUGCUUAUGGAGAUUGGGCUUGGGGUCCGGCCGGGUGUCUGCCAGGCGGGGUUUAAAAAGGGGGGAGACAAUGGGAGGGAGGGGGGAGUGCGACGCCGACCCCAACAAACGGCGUGACCCUGAGCAGAUGGCUGGGCAGGGGCUCUGCUGAGCCAGAAUUAAUAACGUGUGCCAUGUCACAUUGUCUGAGACGGGCUGCCUAAAAAACAAACUGCUCCCCCCCCUCUUUUUCUCUGCCGCCUCCUCUCUCUCUGUCCUCUCAAGUCCCUCACUACCCCUACACUUACACUCCCCCUCCCUCUGCUCUCUCUCUCCCUCUCUAUUGCCCCCCCCCCCCCUCUAUUCCCCACCGCUCUGCCUCAUUCUGCUGUACCUUCUAUUCCUCUCCGUCUCCUUCCCUUUCAAUCUUUACUCUCCUCCCUCUCCCUCCCUUCUGCUCCUCCUCCCUCUGCCUUGUCCUUCUCCUUUUCUCUUGUCCUCCUCCUCCCUCCUCCCCACUCCACCCAACAGCUGGAACUACAGUCUCCGUGAGCCACCCCAUGGAGUACUCCUUCAAUGGCAACUUCACUCUUUUUACAAACACUCCUUCGCUCGCUCUCUCUCUCUCUCUCAUCCAUUCAUUCAUUCCCACCCAUACUCAUUUAUCUUGCUCUCAAUAGCUCAAAUAGACACUCAUUCACAGGUCUGCUCAUUCAGAAGGGUCUUUAUCGGCAGACAAAUAAGGCACCUGUGCUUCAAAAGCUCUCCCGCUGAAUGACUUUCUAUUCCGUUUCCUCACUUGCCCUCUAGCUCACUCAUUCGCUCACUCACUCCUCUCUCUUCCUCACCCACUCAUUCCCCUAUAUCUCUCUACCCAUAACAAACACUCUUCACUACUUUACAUUCCCUCCCCCCUACUGUAGCUCCUACAGCUCAUCAAAUAACAGUCCCUGCUAUCUAGUCUGGGGCGUGGAUCCUCCAACAAACAUUUCCGGGGCCUCUCCAGAAUCCGCAGGGUGGCUGGCAGGAAUGGGUCAGGAGGUCAGAGGGAUGUCGGAACCCCGCGACAGGCCCCCUCUCCUAAUCACCAGGCCACUUCCUGUCUCUCUGGGGGCCCCGGUUGUCCGCCAGAGAGAUGGAGAACCAGGGGGUCAGGGCCUUAGUGCAGCUCACUUGGCAGGCUCAUACUGUGUGUGUGUGUAUGUGUGUGUGUGUGUGUGUGUGUGUGUGUGUGUGUGUGUGUGUGUGUGUGUGUGUGUGUGUGUGUGUGUGUGUAGCAGAGAUGUAGGCGUAAGGAAUGGGGCCACAGUGUCUCCUGACCGCUCCUGUCUCAGCCUCCAGUAUUUAUGCUGCAGUAGUUUAUGUGUCGGGGGGCUAGGGUCAGUUGGUUAUACCUGGAGUACUUCUCCUGUCUUAUCCAGUGUCCUGUGUGAAUUUAAGUAUGCUCUCUCUAAUUCUCUCGUUCUCUCUUUCUCUCUGAGAACCUGAGCCCUAGGACCAUACGUCAGGACUACCGGGCAUGCUGACACCUUGCUGUCCCCAGUCCGCCCGGCCUUGCUGCUAUUCCAGUCUCAACUGUUUCUGCCUGCGGUUACGAAACCCCUACCUGUCCCAGACCUGCUGUUUUCAACUCUUAAUGAUCGGCUAUGAAAAGCCAACUGAGAUUUAUUCCUGAUUAUUAUUUGACCAUGCUUGUCAUUUAUGAACAUUUUGAAAAUCUUGGCUCUCUCUAAUUUUCUCCUUCUCUCUUUCUCUCGGAGGACCUGAGCCCUAGGACCAUACGUCGGGACUACCGGCCGUGGUGACUCCUUGCUGCCCCCAGUCCGCCUGGCCUUGCUGCUAUUCCAGUUUCAACUCUUCUGCCUGCGGUUAUGGAACCCCUACCUGUCCCAGACCUGCUGUUUUCAACUCUUAAUGAUCGGCUAUGAAAAGCCAACUGAGAUUUAUUCCUGAUUAUUAUUUGACCAUGCUUGUCAUUUAUGAACAUUUUGAAAAUCUUGGCUCUCUCUAAUUUUCUCCUUCUCUCUUUCUUUCUCUCGGAGGACCUGGGCCCUAGGACCAUGCGUCGGGACUGCCGCCCGUGGUGACUCCUUGCUGUCCCCAGUCCGCCUGGCCUUGCUGCUAUUCCAGUUUCAGCUGUUCUGCCUGCGGUUAUGGAACCGCCACCUGUCCCAGACCUGUUGUUUUUCAACUCUUAAUGAUCAGCUAUGAAAAGCCAACUGAAAAUUAUUCAUGAUUAUUAUUUGACCAUGCUUGUCACUUAUGAACAUUUUUGAACAUCUUGGCAUAGUUCUGUUAUAAUCUCCACCCGGCACAGCCAGAAGAGGACUGGCCACCCCUCAUAGCCUGGUUCCUCUCUAGGUUUCUUCCUAGGUUUUGGCCUUUCUAGGGAGUUUUUCCUAGCCACCGUGCUUCUACACCUGCAUUCUAGCUGUUUGGGGUUUUAGGCUGGGUUUCUGUACAGCACUUCGAGAUAUUAUCUGAUGUACGAAGGGCUAUAUAAAAUAAAAUUGAUUGAUUGAUUGAUUGAAGGAAUCAAGGGUCAGGGUUUGACAAAAGUUCAUUUGGCAAAGAUUUUGUCCCCCUCACCCAUAAAAAAAUGCUUCAGUUGACAAAAGUAAAGCUACCCAUCCAAACUUUACCUCCACCACAAUAGCAUUUAGCAUUUGCAACAAGCAAGAAAAAUAUCCAUCAUUGACAUUCUGGAGACCUGAAACAUCAAUGAAAGACUUCUGCUUUAUUUUGGUUCAACCAAACAAUUUUUCCUUUUUUCUUACAAGGUUCUAUGAGUUUCAACGUGUUGGCUUUGUUCAUGGGUUGCAUUGGGAUUUUGGCAUUUGUGGGACUGCUCCAAAAAAAGGAUUGUUUUUCUCAUGCUAAUUCUUAACAGAAAUGUUGUUGAAAUAUUAGUUGUUGCUAUGGUGUCUGACACUUUGUUUAUGCCAUGUACCAAGCUACAUCCUGUGGACUAAAUGCUACAGGGCUCAAGCUAAGUGACUGAACCAACUUUGUCUCAGUAGCUUAUUGUAGAAAAGCGGCACUAACCCAAACUAAACCAGUUGUUGAGCUUAGUUCACUGGAUAUGAAUAUCCCAUGAGAAUUUACACAAAGUGGAGAGAUUUAAUUUGGUUGGAAACCUUCAUUGUUAUGACAUUUUUUUCCUUUUCCUCCUUGAUCUCAUGUCUGGUUUAGAUUUGAGCAAGGAUCCUGUACAAGCCCUCGCUACAAUGAAAACCGCCCAAAACAUUGGACCGGGUACUCAUUGAACACAAUACUGCAUCCCAAGAUUCGAUAGAUACUAUUUCCACCGCAUCCUGACAACAAACAAAAUCAUUUGUGUCGAGGUUUGGAGAAAUAAGGCUGCCUAUAAUCAAAAGGGACUCAAAUAAAUCUUGAUUUUGGCACAUGCAUCACAAAGGGUCAAAAGAUCUCAUUCAAGAUUUACCCAACACACAAUGUGGAAGUAUGUAUUGACUCAUGGUUUCCAAGUACCCUGAAGACAGGAACAUGACUGUCACUUACAGUAAAAGUAUAUCUGCAGUAACAGACUGUCCAAUAAGGAUACUGCCCAUUCACAUCACUUACUGAGUCACCAUUGCCAUAGCAUGAAUGUAGUUACUAACACAAAUCAACAUAGUGUUCCAAAUUCCAUUUUGUAUAUUUUAUAUCAUACCAGCGGACCAAAUUUGUCUGACUUUUGACCAAACUUGUCUGACGUUAUUAGCUAGUUAAGGGAAACUACAGUAAGGCGAAUGGACAGCUCACAAAGCUUAUUGCAGAUGCCUUCAAAGCAUUCACAGUCUGUACAUUAAAUACGUUGAAAAAGCAACUUUAAAAAAAUGUCCAAAAGAGAACAUUUGAGUCACAACACCUUCUUUUGAGUACAAACUGAGCAAAGAAUCCACCCUUAGGUUGGGCUCUUAUUGUUCCUCAAGUUAUCUUUGAUAUGGACUUUUCAUACAAAGUGUGGCUGCAGGAGAGGAACCUCUCAGGUUGUGAUUCAUGCAUUUUUUUUUGCUGUGUCAUUGGUCUAAUACAUGUUUCAUUGAAUAGAUUCACAUAUCCCACGAUCACUGUGAAAACCAACUUGCAAUGUUAUCUCACUGUGACUAAGUCGUUCUUCUAAAUAUCUGUGGUUGUUUUAAUGGUAGGCUACAGAAAGACAGGGGCUGCGUACCAAUCCACUGGGCACAGACGUCAAUUCGACGUCUGAGCCACGUUGGUUCAACGUCAUUUCAUUGAAAUGAUGUGGAAACAACAAUUGGUCAACCAGUGUGUGCCCAGUGGGAAAUGGCACCGUAUUCCCUAUAUAGUGAUUUUUUUUUUUACCAGGGCCCAUCAAAAGUAGUGCACUAUGUAUGGAUGCCAGGGUUGCAUCCUCUCAUUUUCCCCUUCGAUAUCAUUCAGUCUUAGAGAACAAAAAAAUGAAAAAAGUUCAUCUGGAAGGGAGAGGUCCUUUUGUCCCGGAGGGGGGAAACAAACUUGAUGAGGUCUCUGGCAAAACAUUUGAUCUAUGCCAAAUGCGCAUCUGCUUUACUUGUGAAUGGCCGAUAUGAGACGCAUCAUCAUUUUCUUAGAACUAUUUUGGUGGCCUGCUCCGGAGUCUGGUCUUAGAAGAUUGGACAUUCCUUGCCAUUUACUGGUGUAAUAUGGAUGUGCCAGAAAACCAGUUCAUGGAAUACAGUAGCCGCAUUCUUGUAUUUAGAAAUGUGAGCCAAAAUCAAUUAAAGUUCCUUCACUGUAAUUGCAAAAUACAACAAGUUUUAGUUUCGGCAACAAACAAAAAAAUCAUUCACAGUCUUUUUUAAGGAUUUAACAUAUUCCAAGAGUAAGUCUCUUGUUUUCGGAAUAUAAUGCAUGAAACAUACUGCAUUUCAGAACUCGUGAACAACUGAGUGUUUUUAAUCAGACGAAGCAGCGGCCCAAGGCAAAGACUGAACUCUAAAAGGUACUGUGGCAAACGCAGCACACAGAGCCAGAGAGACCAGACCACACGCAUAUACUUUUUACUCAACUGUUUCCCUCAUAUGAAAUUAGAUUACAAUCUGCCAUGUACAACUUCACUGCUCCACCGGGGUGAUUCGAAAAUAAUUGUGGUCGCAGGUUCAAUAUCUAGGACCUGGAGAAAUGACAGAUUUUCAAUGUUUUGUUAAUAGGGUAUUUAUCAUUUCCGAUACGGGUAAGAAUAAAAAAUAUAUAUAUUUA